Molecule: long non-coding RNA, 1670 nt
Filed under: Mytilus galloprovincialis (Mediterranean mussel)
Lineage: Eukaryota; Metazoa; Mollusca; Bivalvia; Mytilida; Mytilidae
Source: RNAcentral
CACAUUUUGGAGAGAAAUUAAAACAAAUGGAAUGUAGCAAAGUGAUGAGUGUUGAAUAUGGAAAUUGUUUGAACGGCGGUAUACAACUGCAUGUUGCCUUUAUUUGAUAAAUUUAAUGAUAUGGUGAAUCUAUAAUUGUUUAUUUUAAACUGACUUUGAAAUAACCAAUAGAAUUUCCAUAACAACAUGUACAUGUAGUUUCUUUCAUUUACAAGCUGAUUUAAUCAUUCAUAAUGUGAUCAAGCACAGAAUCCUCUAUAAAGUAGUGGUCCCAAGAUUUGACAAUCAAAUAUUUUAAAGGACUGAUAUAUGACUUUGGUUAUUUUUUGCAAUAGAAAUUAUAGAUCAUUAUAGUAAGGACCAGCAGGGAAAAAUAUUUUCAAGAACUCUAGUCUGCAAGCAUGCAUUCCACAAUUCACUGUUCAGUGAUUUUUUGGUAUUUCAGAUCAUAGAAAAUUUCCAGAUAUUAUGAUGAUCUAACAAUUAAAGAUAUAUUACCGUAGUUAUCUUUUUUUUUGUUCUAACCACAGCCAUAUUUGGCAAUGAGUGAAUAUAAUUUCAUUUAUUCAUAAUUGCUAUUAAUAUUAUGGCCGUGGGCUAUUAUUCAUUAUUUUGCAACCCUGUAAAUUAAAACAGAUCUGGAUACAUUGUUCAUUGUAUACUUAUUCAAAUUUACCUUUUAUAAUGAUAAAUUGUUACUCAUAAAAUUUUAUAGUUUUUUAUCUAAUGAUUAUUCCAUUAUUGUAUUUUCUAGCGAAAAUUUACCACGGUUCUAUGGACAACUAAAGGAGAAUAAUUUCAUUUGUCAAAGGACAGGAGACUUUCCAUGCCUCAAGACUUUAAAAGCUGAAAUUGUAAGGCUUUAAGAAACUAAUGUAUAUGAGUUUCCUUAAAAACAUUAAGUAUAAUUCAAGUCUUAACUUUUUUAUUUAGACAUAUUUUUAAGAAAAAUAUAAUGUUUUAACUUUGUUCAAUGCAUUUUUAUAAUUUCUUUAAUUGGAAGAAAUAAAGCACUUAAUUUAUACACAAAAAUCUUUUUGAUUUAAGCUUUCGUAUGAACCUUUUUAAGAUCAUUACAUGGAGCUUACACUGUUUGAAGAGAUGUGGUAGUAAUGACCAAUGAGACAGCAACUCAACUACAAGAAUAACCAAAGGAACAUAUCAAGAUACUUUUUUAACUGUCUAACACAAAUCUAAUGCUCCCUACAGUCAAAUACCAAACAAUUAAAAGAGUAAACACAUGCAGUAAUUCUUUAAAUACAUAAUGUUUGUCUCCAAUUAAUAAAGCAGUUGUCUGAACUUGUGUCAUAUCUUUGUAGGGAAAUAAGAUGCAGAGAACCAUUCAUGAAGUGUAUACAUGAAACUGAUAUUUACAAUGUUCUUCAGAGCUAUAACUCUAGCCCUUAAGAUUACAUUACACUACUAUUGCUUGCUAAUUCUACUAUCAACAGUAGAAGAGAGAAGAUUCAGGACUAAGAGUGAUUUUUGCAAUUUGCUGUGGAUGAUGACUUAAUCAAAUUUGGAUGCAUUGAUGAAAUUCAUACAACGAUGACAGUUAAUUCUUUGAACAAGAAAAAGCUGUAGAUAUUUUCAAUGGUGCAAAACAAAAAAGUUAUGAACUAUAAAAUGAUUAAAACUGUGUUGAGUUUACAAUUUUUAUAAAAGUGACA